Molecule: ribosomal RNA, 1018 nt
Filed under: uncultured bacterium
Lineage: Bacteria
Description: bacterial SSU rRNA
Rfam family: Bacterial small subunit ribosomal RNA
Source: RNAcentral
AGGAAUAUUGGUCAAUGGACGAGAGUCUGAACCAGCCAAGUAGCGUGAAGGAUGAAGGUCCUACGGAUUGUAAACUUCUUUUAUAAGGGAAUAAACCCUCCCACGUGUGGGAGCUUGUAUGUACCUUAUGAAUAAGCAUCGGCUAACUCCGUGCCAGCAGCCGCGGUAAUACGGAGGAUGCGAGCGUUAUCCGGAUUUAUUGGGUUUAAAGGGAGCGCAGACGGGUCGUUAAGUCAGCUGUGAAAGUUUGGGGCUCAACCUUAAAAUUGCAGUUGAUACUGGCGUCCUUGAGUGCGGUUGAGGUGUGCGGAAUUCGUGGUGUAGCGGUGAAAUGCUUAGAUAUCACGAAGAACUCCGAUUGCGAAGGCAGCGCACUAAUCCGUAACUGACGUUCAUGCUCGAAAGUGUGGGUAUCAAACAGGAUUAGAUACCCUGGUAGUCCACACGGUAAACGAUGGAUACUCGCUGUUGGCGAUAUACUGUCAGCGGCCAAGCGAAAGCAUUAAGUAUCCCACCUGGGGAGUACGCCGGCAACGGUGAAACUCAAAGGAAUUGACGGGGGCCCGCACAAGCGGAGGAACAUGUGGUUUAAUUCGAUGAUACGCGAGGAACCUUACCCGGGCUUGAAUUGCAGGAGAACGAUCCAGAGAUGGUGAGGCCCUUCGGGGCUCCUGUGAAGGUGCUGCAUGGUUGUCGUCAGCUCGUGCCGUGAGGUGUCGGCUUAAGUGCCAUAACGAGCGCAACCCUCGUGGUCAGUUACUAACAGGUUAAGCUGAGGACUCUGGCCAGACUGCCAUCGUAAGAUGUGAGGAAGGUGGGGAUGACGUCAAAUCAGCACGGCCCUUACGUCCGGGGCUACACACGUGUUACAAUGGGCGGUACAGAAGGCAGCUACCUGGCGACAGGAUGCCAAUCCCGAAAGCCGCUCUCAGUUCGGACUGGAGUCUGCAACCCGACUCCACGAAGCUGGAUUCGCUAGUAAUCGCGCAUCAGCCACGGCGCGGUGAAUACGUUCCCG